CUGCCCUGCACUCUGGGACAAGCCCUGGAAACGGGGUCUAAUACCGGAUACGACCGCUUCAGGCAUCUGACGGCGGUGGAAAGCUCCGGCGGUGCAGGAUGAGCCCGCGGCCUAUCAGCUUGUUGGUGAGGUAACGGCUCACCAAGGCGACGACGGGUAGCCGGCCUGAGAGGGCGACCGGCCACACUGGGACUGAGACACGGCCCAGACUCCUACGGGAGGCAGCAGUGGGGAAUAUUGCACAAUGGGCGCAAGCCUGAUGCAGCGACGCCGCGUGAGGGAUGACGGCCUUCGGGUUGUAAACCUCUUUCAGCAGGGAAGAAGCGCAAGUGACGGUACCUGCAGAAGAAGCGCCGGCUAACUACGUGCCAGCAGCCGCGGUAAUACGUAGGGCGCAAGCGUUGUCCGGAAUUAUUGGGCGUAAAGAGCUCGUAGGCGGCCUGUCGCGUCGGUUGUGAAAGCCCGGGGCUCAACCCCGGGUCUGCAGUCGAUACGGGCAGGCUAGAGUUCGGUAGGGGAGAUCGGAAUUCCUGGUGUAGCGGUGAAAUGCGCAGAUAUCAGGAGGAACACCGGUGGCGAAGGCGGAUCU
RNAcentral lists this ribosomal RNA (589 nucleotides) under Streptomyces sp. PWB-016. RNAcentral describes it as "bacterial SSU rRNA". It matches the Rfam family "Bacterial small subunit ribosomal RNA", at positions 126 to 728 of the family's 1533-position model. The record is from RNAcentral. Lineage: Bacteria; Bacillati; Actinomycetota; Actinomycetes; Kitasatosporales; Streptomycetaceae.